GGCCGAGACUGGUUAAAUUGAUGACAAAAACUCAGGGAGUUUAUCGGUCGGACCGUUAAUUUAAAAAUUGUCUAAAUUGUGUAGGUUUUGAAAUGAGAAGCCUAAAAUCUGUGCAGUUGUAAUCAUAGGACGUCUGUGUAAAUAGAUUAAGAGACUUGUCUGAGUCUGAGAGUCAGGCUGGUAUUAUUUUUAGAUUGUGUGUGUGUGUGUGAGAAUGCAAAUAAGGCAGCUGAGAGGUCAAUAGAAUAUGAGGAAGUUAAUAGGGACUGCUAGACAUUGCUGGUGCAUGUACUUAAGACGCUGGUUUUGUUUAUUACAAUAUCAGGCCUGGAAGAGAGUGAACUGACGGCGCGGACAAAUUACCAAGUAAGGAUUGCAGCGAGUCAAUCCAGUCAAAAGUAUAGAGAACUAUUUUCCUAAAAAGGAAAAACGAAAUAAAACAAAUGAUUGAGCUCAUUUUGCUGAUGUGGAGCAUCUGAUCACGUGCGCAGAAGGCUGCAGAUCAGCAAAAAUAUCAUGUGUGAAUGCAUGGGAGUGAAUGUGAGUGAUGGGACCAAGAGGGAAAUAAAUAAAAGGUUGACAAACAGGACAAGUGGGAGACUUAAAUCUGGGGAUGCUGAUUUUGGGAUAUUGAUGUGUGCGUUGAGAAAAUUAUUUAUUGGGGUUGGAUUAUGUUAUUACAUUAUAGGAUGCUAAAUG
Long non-coding RNA from Oreochromis aureus, 699 nucleotides. NCBI's taxonomy places the organism in Eukaryota, Metazoa, Chordata, Actinopteri, Cichliformes, Cichlidae. The record is from Ensembl.